GAAGUAUCUUGAAAUUUUACCCCAUUGGAAAUGGGCUGGACUGGCCUAUGGGCGUUUUAUGAGGCGUCUGUGAACAUGGAUAGUGUUUCGGAGAUCCGUAUGUGCCAGGGAGCACACAACAACCGGAAAAUGACAGGGUUGAACAUUCGCCCAAUUUCGACAAAAACCGUUUUAAGUUGCAUCUGCAGACAUGGAUAGUGUUUCGGUGAUCCGUAUGUGCCAGGGAGCUCAAAACAACCGGAAAAUGACAGGGUCGAAAAGUCACCCAAUUUCGACAAAAACCGUGGCGUUUUAAAUAUAAACAAUACUGUAUGUGGAGUUGAGAGACUACGAAGGAGACUUUACAACUAAUAACAAAUUAAGGUAGACAACGAAUCCACAAAUAUCAGCAAAGAAUGUCCGGACUCGAGCGUGAAAGGGCAACAGAACUUAUCAACUAGGCCCUAUUUAUAUAUAGACCAUUAUCAAGUUUAUUUUGAAACAGUGCCGCCAAAUAUUGUCAAAAAUCAAGCAUCCUGCAAAAACACUGGGUAUAAAUGAAAUAAAAUAGGCCUAUAGUGUGAAUUUUACUUUAAAAAAUAUAUUUUCUCUGCAAAAAUCUCAAAAAUAAUGUUAGCAAUAAGUAUUAAUUCUUGUAGGCUUUAUGUUUAUUGUAUUAUUACUAUUAUUAGAGAAAAUAAACCGUAAUAUUGUUGCAAAGAAUAUAGACAUAUGUAAGAUAAUAAGAUAAAACAUUUUGUAGAUUAAAAUCACGUCUAUUGAUUGACAUGUAAUAUAUAUAGGCCUAUAUACUGUAUAAAAUAAAAUGUAUACAUAUAUCUUAA
RNAcentral lists this long non-coding RNA (824 nucleotides) under Anneissia japonica. RNAcentral's name for it is "uncharacterized LOC117107235, transcript variant X1". The record is from RNAcentral. Lineage: Eukaryota; Metazoa; Echinodermata; Crinoidea; Comatulida; Comatulidae.